Molecule: ribosomal RNA, 720 nt
Filed under: uncultured bacterium
Lineage: Bacteria
Description: bacterial SSU rRNA
Rfam family: Bacterial small subunit ribosomal RNA
Source: RNAcentral
GCCUGAACGCUGGCGGCGUGGCUAAGACAUGCAAGUCGUACGGUGUAGCAAUACACAGUGGCGGACGGGUGAGUAAUGAAUCGCUAAUGUACCCCGAUGUCUGGGAUAGCCAGUCGAAAGAUUGGGUAAUACCAGAUGAGACCACGGCAGGGCAUCCUGCAGUGCUCAAAGGGUCACCGCAUUGGGAGCAGGCGAUUUCGUAUCAGCUAGUUGGUGAGGUAACGGCUCACCAAGGCGACGACGCGUAGCCGGGCUGAGAGGUCGGCCGGCCACAUUGGGACUGAGACACUGCCCAGACUCCUACGGGGGGCUGCAGUAACGAAUCUUCCGCAAUGCACGAAAGUGUGACGGAGCGACGCCGCGUGUAGGAUGAAGUCCUUCGGGAUGUAAACUACUGUCAGGGGAAAGAAAGUUCUGAUCUACCCCAGAGGAAGAGGCGGCUAACUCUGUGCCAGCAGCCGCGGUAAGACAGAGGCCUCGAGCGUUAGGCGGAAUCACUGGGCUUAAAGCGUGUGUAGGCGGAGAUGUAAGUACCUUGUGAAAUCCCACGGCUUAACCGUGGAACUGCUUGGUAUACUGCUUCUCUUGAGCAAUCCAGGGGCGAGUGGAACAGAUGGUGGAGCGGUGAAAUGCGUAGAUAUCAUCUGGAACGCCGGUGGUGAAGACGACUCGCUGGGGAUUUGCUGACGCUGAGACACGAAAGCCAGGGGAGCGAACGGG